GGCGGACGGGUGAGUAACACGUGGAUAACCUACCUAUAAGACUGGGAUAACUUCGGGAAACCGGAGCUAAUACCGGAUAAUAUAUUGAACCGCAUGGUUCAAUAGUGAAAGACGGUUUUGCUGUCACUUAUAGAUGGAUCCGCGCCGCAUUAGCUAGUUGGUAAGGUAACGGCUUACCAAGGCAACGAUGCGUAGCCGACCUGAGAGGGUGAUCGGCCACACUGGAACUGAGACACGGUCCAGACUCCUACGGGAGGCAGCAGUAGGGAAUCUUCCGCAAUGGGCGAAAGCCUGACGGAGCAACGCCGCGUGAGUGAUGAAGGUCUUCGGAUCGUAAAACUCUGUUAUUAGGGAAGAACAAAUGUGUAAGUAACUGUGCACGUCUUGACGGUACCUGAUCAGAAAGCCACGGCUAACUACGUGCCAGCAGCCGCGGUAAUACGUAGGUGGCAAGCGUUAUCCGGAAUUAUUGGGCGUAAAGCGCGCGUAGGCGGUUUUUUAAGUCUGAUGUGAAAGCCCACGGCUCAACCCGUGGAGGGUCAUUGGAAACUGGAAAACUUGAGUGCAGAAGAGGAGAAGUGGAAUUCCAUGUGUAGCGGUGAAAUGCGCAGAGAUAUGGAGGAACACCAGUGGCGAAGGCGACUUUCUGGUCUGUAACUGACGCUGAUGUGCGAAAGCGUGGGGGAUCAAACAGGAUUAGAUACCCUGGUAGUCCACGCCGUAAACGAUGAGUGCUAAGUGUUAGGGGGUUUCCGCCCCUUAGUGCUGCAGCUAACGCAUUAAGCACUCCGCCUGGGGAGUACGACCGCAAGGUUGAAACUCAAAGGAAUUGACGGGGACCCGCACAAGCGGUGGAGCAUGUGGUUUUUUUCUAAGCACGCGAAGAACCUUCCCAUAUUUUGACAUUC
RNAcentral lists this ribosomal RNA (908 nucleotides) under Staphylococcus sp. C2I1. Its description in RNAcentral is "bacterial SSU rRNA". It matches the Rfam family "Bacterial small subunit ribosomal RNA", at positions 97 to 989 of the family's 1533-position model. Lineage: Bacteria; Bacillati; Bacillota; Bacilli; Caryophanales; Staphylococcaceae. The record is from RNAcentral.